AUUUGGGGGAAUGAAGUUAUAUAUUAAUAUAGAGAUAUAUGCGUAUCGACUAUGUCGUAUAAAGUUCUAAAUAGAAGAUUGAUGAUGACAGAUUUCUAUUUAUAUGUCUCGACCAAUUCUUGUGCCAGCAGUCGCGGCAACACAAGUGAGACUAGUGUUAUUCAUCUUUAUUAGGUUUAAAGGGUACCUAGACGGUAUUUUCAGCCUGCACAAGGAACAAAAAUACUAGAGUUUUAUUUGAGAGGAAGAUAUUAGGACGAUGGGUGUAAAGAUGAAAUUUUUUGAUACUAGUUGUACGGAUAACGGCGAAGGCAAUCCUCUAUCUAUAAACUGACGUUAAGGGACGAAGGCUUGGGGAGCGAACAGGAUUUGUUACCCUAGUAGUCCAGGCAGAAAAUUAUGAAUGUUAUAGACUAAGAAAAAAUUGGUGUAUAAAUGAAAGUGUAAGCAUUCCACCUCAAGAGUAAUGUGGCAACGCAGGAACUGAAAUCAU
This 493-nucleotide ribosomal RNA is filed under the name Sphaerulina populicola. RNAcentral's name for it is "SSU rRNA". It matches the Rfam family "Bacterial small subunit ribosomal RNA", at positions 395 to 909 of the family's 1533-position model. The record is from RNAcentral. Lineage: Eukaryota; Fungi; Ascomycota; Dothideomycetes; Mycosphaerellales; Mycosphaerellaceae.